CGGGGCGUAGCUCAGUUUGGAUAGAGCGCACGGUUCGGGACCGUGAGGUCGGUGGUUCAAAUCCACUCGCCCCGA
Molecule: transfer RNA, 75 nt
Filed under: Planctomycetota bacterium
Lineage: Bacteria; Pseudomonadati; Planctomycetota
Also listed under: 1 other name
Description: Planctomycetes bacterium (freshwater metagenome) tRNA-Pro
Rfam family: tRNA
About the family: Transfer RNA (tRNA) molecules are approximately 80 nucleotides in length.
Source: RNAcentral